UACGAAGGGGGCUAGCGUUGCUCGGAAUCACUGGGCGUAAAGGGUGCGUAGGCGGGUUUUUAAGUCAGGGGUGAAAUCCUGGAGCUCAACUCCAGAACUGCCUUUGAUACUGAAAAUCUUGAGUCCGGGAGAGGUGAGUGGAACUGCGAGUGUAGAGGUGAAAUUCGUAGAUAUUCGCAAGAACACCAGUGGCGAAGGCGGCUCACUGGCCCGGUACCGACGCUGAGGCACGAAAGCGUGGGGAGCAAACAGG
RNAcentral lists this ribosomal RNA (253 nucleotides) under uncultured bacterium. RNAcentral's name for it is "partial 16S ribosomal RNA". It matches the Rfam family "Bacterial small subunit ribosomal RNA", at positions 524 to 776 of the family's 1533-position model. The record is from RNAcentral.